GGGCCCGCACAAGCGGUGGAGUAUGUGGUUUAAUUCGAUGCAACGCGAAGAACCUUACCAGGGUUUGACAUCCUGCGAAUCUCUUGGAAACGAGAGAGUGCCUUCGGGAACGCAGUGACAGGUGGUGCAUGGCUGUCGUCAGCUCGUGUCGUGAGAUGUUGGGUUAAGUCCCGCAACGAGCGCAACCCACGUCGUUAGUUGCCAGCAUUUAGUUGGGCACUCUAGCGAGACCGCCGGUGAUAAACCGGAGGAAGGUGUGGAUGACGUCAAGUCAUCAUGCCCCUUACGGGUUGGGCUACACACGUGCUACAAUGGUAGUGACAAUGGGUUAAUCCCAAAAAGCUAUCU
This 348-nucleotide ribosomal RNA is filed under the name uncultured bacterium. RNAcentral describes it as "bacterial SSU rRNA". It matches the Rfam family "Bacterial small subunit ribosomal RNA", at positions 917 to 1288 of the family's 1533-position model. The record is from RNAcentral.